Molecule: ribosomal RNA, 887 nt
Filed under: uncultured archaeon
Lineage: Archaea
Description: bacterial SSU rRNA
Rfam family: Archaeal small subunit ribosomal RNA
Source: RNAcentral
CUUACUGCUAUCGGGUUGAGACUAAGCCAUGCAAGUCGUGCGCUCUCUAGCUAUGUUGAGAGCGCGGCGAACAGCUCUGUAACACGUAGUUAACCUGCCCUCGGGAUGGAGAUAACCCCUAGGAAACUGGGAUUAAUAUCCACUAGAUGACACUGCCUGGAAUGGCUUAUCAUCGAAAGAUUCUGGAUACAUGCUUCCAGUAUCGCCCGAGGAUGGGACUGCGUCCGAUCAGGUUGUUGGCGGGGUAACGGCCACCAAGCCUAUUACCGGUACGGGCCCUGAGAGGGGGAGCCCGGAGAUGGAAACUGAGACAAUGUUCCAGGCCCUACGGGGCGCAGCAGGCGCGAAACCUCCACAAUGCGCGCAAGCGUGAUGGGGUUAGCCCGAGUGCCGUCCGAUGAGGAUGGCUUUUCCUUGGUGUAAAAAUCCAGGGGAAUAAAGGGGGGGCAAGACUGGUGUCAGCCGCCGCGGUAAUACCAGCCCCCUGAGUGGUAAGGACGAUUAUUUGGCUUAAAGCGUUCGUAGCCGGCUUAGUAAGUCUCCUGUUAAAUCCAAUGAUUCAAUCAUUGAACUGCAAGAGAUACUGCUAUGCUAGAGGACGGGAGAGGUCGACGGUAGUCCAGGGGUAGGGGUGAAAUCCUAUAAUCCUUGGAGGACCACCAGUGGCGAAGGCGGUCGACUAGAACGUGCCUGACGGUGAGGGACGAAAGCUGGGGGAGCGAACCGGAUUAGAUACCCGGGUAGUCCCAGCUGUAAACGAUGCGGGCUAGGUGUAGGGGUAGCUACGAGCUGCUCCUGUGCCGCAGAGAAAUUGUUAAGCCCGCCGCCUGGGGAGUACGAUCGCAAGAUUGAAACUUAAAGGAAUUGGCGGGGGAGCACCACAAGGG